GUGCUUGUUUCCACAGCACAUAUUUUAAAAUUGGAUCAAUACAGAGCAGAUAAGCAUGGCUGCUGCACACAGGAUAACUUUUGAAUUCAGAAAGCAUUCAUAUUUUGU
Chlorocebus sabaeus (green monkey) is the source of this 108-nucleotide small nuclear RNA. The record is from RefSeq and is a predicted model, not a curated record. Lineage: Eukaryota; Metazoa; Chordata; Mammalia; Primates; Cercopithecidae.